Molecule: non-coding RNA, 114 nt
Organism: Acanthosepion pharaonis
Lineage: Eukaryota; Metazoa; Mollusca; Cephalopoda; Sepiida; Sepiidae
Source: the annotation of a GenBank genome assembly
UUACAGCCAUAUCACAUUGAAACACUGGUUCGUGUAUGAUUACUGAAGUUAAGCAAUAUCAAGCCUAGUCAGUAUUUAGAUGGGUGAACAUUUGGGAAUACCAGCUGCUGUAAG